GGYGCUUGCACUGGUGGCSAGUGGCGAASGGGUGASUAAUACAUCGGAACAUGUCCUGUAGUGGGGGAUAGCCCGGCRAAAGCCGGAUUAAUACCSCAUACGAUCUACGGAUGAAAGCGGGGGACCUUCGGGCCUCGCGCUAUAGGGUUGGCCGAUGGCUGAUUAGCUAGUUGGUGGGGUAAAGGCCUACCAAGGCGACGAUCASUAGCUGGUCUGAGAGGACSACCAGCCACACUGGGACUGAGACACGGCCCAGACUCCUACGGGAGGCRGCAGUGGGGAAUUUUGGACAAUGGGCGAAAGCCUGAUCCAKCAAUGCCGCGUGUGUGAAGAAGGCCUUCSGGUUGUAAASCACUUUUGUCCGGAAAGAAAUCCUUGGCUCUAAUACWGYCGGGGGAUGACGGUACCGGAAGAAUAAGCACCGGCUAACUACGUGCCARCAGCCGCGGUAAUACGUAGGGUGCGAGCGUUAAUCGGAAUUACUGGGCGUAAAGCGUGCKCMSGCGGUUUGCUAAGACCGAUGUGAAAUCCCCGGGCUCAACCUGGGAACUGCAUUGGUGACU
RNAcentral lists this ribosomal RNA (563 nucleotides) under Burkholderia sp. RNAcentral's name for it is "partial 16S ribosomal RNA". It matches the Rfam family "Bacterial small subunit ribosomal RNA", at positions 75 to 634 of the family's 1533-position model. The record is from RNAcentral. Lineage: Bacteria; Pseudomonadati; Pseudomonadota; Betaproteobacteria; Burkholderiales; Burkholderiaceae.